GACGAACGCUGGCGGCGUGCUUAACACAUGCAAGUCUAUUGGAAGCUUGCUUCCGAUGGCGGACGGGUGAGUAACACGUAAAGAAUCUGCCCUUUAGUCUGGGAUAACAACUGGAAACAGUUGCUAAUACCGGAUAUUAUAAUCUGAUGGCAUCAUCUUUUUAUGAAAACUAUAUGUGCUAAAGGUGGACUUUGCGGCCCAUUAGCUAGUUGGUGAGGUAACGGCUCACCAAGGCUUCGAUGGGUAGCCGGCCUGAGAGGGUGUACGGCCACAAGGGGACUGAGACACGGCCCUUACUCCUACGGAGGCAGCAGUGGGAAUAUUGGACAAUGGGAGAAAUCCUGAUCCAGCAAUUCUGUGUGCAUGAUGACGGUCUUCGGAUUGUAAAGUGCUUUUCGACAGGGAAGAAUAAAUUGACGGUACCUGUAUAAGAAGCGACGGCUAAAUACGUGCCAGCAGCCGCGGUAAGCUGUAGUCGU
This 479-nucleotide ribosomal RNA is filed under the name uncultured bacterium. RNAcentral describes it as "bacterial SSU rRNA". It matches the Rfam family "Bacterial small subunit ribosomal RNA", at positions 28 to 535 of the family's 1533-position model. The record is from RNAcentral.